Caenorhabditis elegans is the source of this 148-nucleotide non-coding RNA. The record is from Ensembl. Lineage: Eukaryota; Metazoa; Nematoda; Chromadorea; Rhabditida; Rhabditidae.
CAUUUGUGCAAAGCCUGUUAUUUGGGUGCCCUCGUGCGAUCAGCACCCAAUGAUUACAGCUGGAAAAGAACACAAGAAGUUGCAGAGGAUCUAUGCACUUUGUCGGAGGUUCCAUGAACUUACAUUUUUCAAAUAAUGUGAUAGAUUG